GAUCAGGCUGAAAUCAAACAUUAGAACCAAUGCUUAGUGGCUGAUUGGUAUGAACAUGGAUCAUAAUAAUCAACAGCGCUUUAGAUUUUGAGUACCGUGUGGUAUGGAGAUGGAGAAGGGCUUUUGAAUGGGUGAAAGGGGCUUGCAUUGCUUCGGGUAUCUGCCUCAUACGUUCGAUCCUGCUGUUCUCGGCUAUACUCGCUUGACUUUCUACGACGUUCAGGCUGCAAUACAAAGACCGUUUCAUGCUGCAAUAAAAAAAAGAAGGGACAAACUCAUCUACAGAUUCGAAAAUUUUGUUUGGAGGCAAAGGAAACAGAUAAUAGGAUCUUUUUAUAGUAGAGUACCGUGCCAUAUCCGUACACAGGAGGCCUAGGGUGGGAGUUGGGGACGCGUUCAGACGCCGGUUGUUUCGGGUAUGUUCUUUGUUCACGGGAGAUAGGGAAAUCAUACUCUGUCUCGGCUCUUUUGUUGGAGAGAUACGAAGGUGGCGGAGAUCUACCAGCGGCGGGAUGAGGAGGGGUCGCCGGAUUGCUCUUGCUCGCACUUUUCUUCCCGAACAGUCCUGAAGAGACGUACCAAACAAAAUAAAACUGGUCAACGUUUGGAUUUAGCUUAGUCAACGGAAGUUAUCAACAUAAGAAGAUACUUCUUGUAAGAUAGGAUUUGAGAAAAUGAUCCUUGUCUGUAACCAGAUUUAAACAUUUCUGGCGACUUUUUCCGGUGGUAUUCAUAUCGGACAGAGUGCAAGUGUGAAGGGACUUUCCAGAGUUGGAAAAAUUACCUGAUCGUUUUCCAUCUUUCUUUGAACUGAAGAAGUCCAUAUUGCACAAGAUGGGGCUAAACUGGAUCGGUAAAUAAGUUGCCUGUAAAACCGGAAAAUCAGAUAACCAUUUAACUGGUUAUGUAUGUAAGUAUAUACACGCCCGCGUUCAUUACCUGGAAUUUUUGAAGCAGGGAGCUGGGUUGUGAGCUGUUGUUGCCGGAGAGAGAUGGCUUUUGGUUAGUUUCGUCUUUGCUACGUAUUACUUCAUAUGAUUUUAUAUAACGAGUCAGAGGAGCCUAUAAUGCUAAUUGAAAGUCUACCAUACUUAUUCAUCUGACUUUGACUAUUACAAACGGACAAGAUCGUAAUCAUUAUUUAAUUGCUUCCAUCUAAUCUUCUACCACUUGUUUUCUUUUCUUUGUUUCAAGUAGCCGCAGCCAUGAUUUACUUGGUCAAUGGUACUCUGGUUCUGAAAAAAAAUCUACUUUGAAUAUUUCUGACUACGUUAUGAUUGUUUUUUUCUGAUUAGUGAGCCUAUAGAUGGGCUCAUAAGUCAUAUGCAGUGCCCAAUAUAACCACCAAUCACGAAAUGGGCUAAAAUUAAAGGAAAUAAGACUAAAUCCUCUUUUUUAUCAACCAACCAGGAUUGAUAGGAAAAAUGUUCGGUUACAAACAAACCAGAAGGAUCAAGAUGGGAAAGCUAAUGCAGAUACAAGUGUCAUUCGGGAUAAAUGCAUCAGCACACGUUCGUUGAUUGUGUCUGUGGUGGUUUUGUCUUCAAGGGUGCUUCUCCUACUCGGCUACAAGGGCUUGGAGGAAAAUGUAUACAGGCCGUGUAGACUGUGGACAUAAUGUAUACGUUGGCAAGGACGUGAACUGUCUGAAGCGUCUCUAUGUGGUGAUUUCGUGGCAGGCCGUGUGGACAUAAUGAAUCCAGUUCAAUGGUACGAGCAUUUUCAGAGAAUAGCGAUGCAGUCAUGCAGAUCAUGUGAUCGAAGGAGGACCGCAGAGUUGCCUAGGAAGCGUUAAAAGAGAAUGUGAAUACUGAAUAGAGUUCACAUUGUGACAAAUAAUGACUUCUACGUAAAAGGUAAAAAAAAUAUCUCCACGCGCGCGAUGAUAACCAAUCCCACUCUCAUCAAAUGCGCACGAAGCUCGUUUAAGUCUGGAAGUCUAUAACCCACAGAUUUCAGCCCUUUUUGACAUAAUUUAUUAGAAAGGGAACGACCUGAAGCGCGUUGACUGCCGUUUGCAUAAUGCCCUGUGAAUAAUAAACUUUUUUAAUAUUCAAUAAUACGAAUAACUAUUUCGAUUUUCUUCAAAUCUCACUUUUUUUUUUUCAAAUCUCACUUCAUCAACUUUUUAAUUAAUAAAUUUUAGAAAUGAUCCGCACGUUGCAUGGAUUGAACUUAAAUCAAAUUAUAACAAAUUACUAGAUUUUGACUCGCGCUUGAGAAACACGGAUAACUUUUUGGUAUUAAAAAAUAAUCAAGUUGCAUCAAUUUAGGAAAAAUAAUUAAGUUGCAUCAAUUUAGGAACAACCAAAAUAACUAACUAUAUAAUUAUAAAAAAAUAACUUUACAUAAGAUUUAUUAGGUUUCUAAUGAAUAGGUCCAACAACUUUUUAUAAGUAGAUUUUUUUAAAAAUCCUUCCCUUUUAA
Molecule: long non-coding RNA, 2427 nt
Organism: Brassica napus (rape)
Lineage: Eukaryota; Viridiplantae; Streptophyta; Magnoliopsida; Brassicales; Brassicaceae
Exons: 3
Source: RefSeq, a predicted model, not a curated record